CCCUUAGAUGUCCGGGGCCGCACGCGCGCUACACUGAAGGAAUCAGCGUGGCUUUCUCCCUGACCCGAAAGGGUUGGGAAACCCGUUGAAUCUCCUUCGUGAUUGGGAUUGGGGCUUGAAAUUGUUCCCCAUGAACGAGGAAUUCCCAGUAAGCGCGAGUCAUAAGCUCGCGUUGAUUACGUCCCUGCCCUUUGUACACACCGCCCGUCGCUACUACCGAUUGAACGGUUUAGUGAGGGCCUCGGAUUGGUCUCGGCCCGCUCUUUACCGGGCGGCGCCGUUGGUCGAGAAGACGCUCGAACUUGAUCGUUUAGAGGAAGUAAAAGUCGUAACA
Molecule: ribosomal RNA, 334 nt
Filed under: uncultured eukaryote
Lineage: Eukaryota
Description: partial 18S ribosomal RNA
Rfam family: Eukaryotic small subunit ribosomal RNA
Source: RNAcentral